Molecule: ribosomal RNA, 451 nt
Filed under: uncultured bacterium
Lineage: Bacteria
Description: bacterial SSU rRNA
Rfam family: Bacterial small subunit ribosomal RNA
Source: RNAcentral
GAUGAACGCUAGCGGCAGGCUUAACACAUGCAAGUCGAGGGGCAGCGAGAUCAGUGCUUGCACUGAUUGUCGGCGACCGGCGCACGGGUGCGUAACGCGUAUGCAACCUACCCAUUACAGGGGGAUAACACUGAGAAAUCGGUACUAAUACCCCAUAACAUCCAGGGAGGCAUCUUCUUGGGUUGAAAACUCCGGUGGUAAUGGAUGGGCAUGCGUUGUAUUAGUUAGUUGGUGGGGUAACGGCUCACCAAGACAACGAUACAUAGGGGGACUGAGAGGUUAACCCCCCACAUUGGUACUGAGACACGGACCAAACUCCUACGGGAGGCAGCAGUGAGGAAUAUUGGUCAAUGGACGCAAGUCUGAACCAGCCAUGCCGCGUGCAGGAAGACGGCUCUAUGAGUUGUAAACUGCUUUUGUACGAGGGUAAACGCAGAUACGCGUAUCUGUC